Molecule: long non-coding RNA, 2211 nt
Organism: Neomonachus schauinslandi (Hawaiian monk seal)
Lineage: Eukaryota; Metazoa; Chordata; Mammalia; Carnivora; Phocidae
Exons: 5
Source: RefSeq, a predicted model, not a curated record
CAGUGCGCAGGCGCAAGAGCUUUCCCCUGGUUAUAUAAGAGAGGUCUGGAGGGCUCUUCGUCCUUUUGCGUUUUCGGCGCUUUUCUUCACUUCUGUACCUGAUUUGUGCUUCGUCCGAUGCUGUGCGGGCCCGGGAAUCCGGGUUUGCUGUUGUGAGUGGUCAGUGCGAUCAGAGAGUACAGAAUGGAUCUCCGAAGAGGGGGUCGCUGCUGGGCCUCCAGGAGAACCCCCUGUAGACUUGUCCAGCCUUCCGUCUCCUGAUCUCUGGCAGUUACUGUUGGCGGAAAGCGAACUUGGAGUGAACCAGGAAUGAGAUGUUGGAAUCAGGUCACUUAUCUUGGUUUUACCUGCUAACUUCCUGCAGGUUGGGAGCCCUGUGAGCCACAGGGCAGUAAAUAGAUGCAGCCUGAUGUGCUUGGUUCAGUCUGUCCUGCAACAGUCUCUUUCAGCCACCAAACUGUUCAGCCCCGCCAUCACUUGAGGAUCGCUCCUACCUCAGAAUCUUUGCAUAUGCUGUUUCCUCUGCCUGGAGUGACCAAUCAGACUCUUCAGAUCUUUGCAUGUUUCCCUCCCUUUUCUCAAUCAGGUGUGUUUAUUCAAAUGUCAUCUUCUCUGGGAACCUAUCUAAAAUAAUCUUACCUUUCUGUUCCCUUACCUUGUUUUUUUUUUCAUAUUACUUACCACUGCCUAAGCGAUACAUAGACACAUACACACACACACGCAUUGUGUAUAUAUAUAUAUAUAUAUAUAGUAUAUUUAUUGUUGGUGCCCCCUCAUUCCCCACCCCCAUUAAACCAGGACUUCACGUACAUAGCAACUUUCCCUUCUUUGUCUAUGGCCCCUCCAACAGCAAGUGGCACAGUGCCUGGCAUGUGGUGGGCCACUCCGUAUUUGCUAAAUGAAAGAAUGAAUCACACACUUGACUAGUGGCUCGACUGUGCUAAGGCACUUGACAUGCACACUUCGUUACUCAUCACAACAGCCCAGUGAGGAGAGAACGUGAUUCUUAUCCCAAUUGCACAGAUGAGGGAGUGAGGCUCAGGGAGGUAUGGUUCCCCAGCUCUAUGUGAGACAACUGAGUCACAAACCCUGACCUGUUUGACUCCAAAGCCCCUCCUUUUCCCUUCCCAAUGUAUUGCCUUCUGCUAGAACAAGGAGUAUUUUCUAUUCUCUGCAUCCUCUGCAGUUUCCAGAGCUGUUCCUUGAAUACAGUAGGUGCUCAAUAAGGCAAAAAUGACCAAAUGAUUCCUUGAACUAUCACAGACUGGCCGCAUGAAGACACAAUCCAUUCCAUAAAUAUUUAUUGAGUACCACCGGGUGCCAGACUCAGUUCUAGGUGCUGAGAAUACAAUAGUGGGGAAAAAAUUACUGCUAAUGUGGAAGAUUGACCUGCCAGUGGGGGAAGGAACAAUAAUAGUAUGUUAUUUAAUCGUUAAUACAAUGGAGAAAACUCAGUGUAGUGGGGGAAAGGAAUAGAAUUGGAAAUGUAAAGGUGAGCAGUUGAGUACAGAGCUGAAAUAGAUCAAGGAGUGAGUGGUGUAUCAGAGGGAUAGUAUAUUCCCAGGCCCGUGCAAAGGCCUUGAGGCAAAAACAUGCCUGCUGGAUGCUGUGUUUAGAGUAGAAAGGAGGCCAGUGUGGCUUUGAGUGGAAAAUUGGAAGGUCUGGCCAUAGUGGACUCAUUUUCCUGCCUGGUAAUAAUGACUGUGGCUGAGUAACAUCCAUCCCUUUUGGCAGGUCAUGUGCUUUCCAGGUCCCACAGUGGUCUACUUCCCUCUUUUACAUACCUGCCCCUGCAUUAAUAAUCAGAGUAACGAUGGCUAGCAUUUAUCGAGCCCUUACUAUGUGUUAAUGGCAGUUUUUUAUAUGUAACGAAACAUUCUUCCAACAACCCUGUGAGGUAGGUUGUAUUAUUCAUCUCAUUUGACAACUGAAGCUACAGUCUCAGAGAGGUAAAACAACUUGCCUAAGGUCAGCUAAGGUCAGCAGAGCUGGGAAGCGUGGCAGAGCCAGGACUUGAACCCUGUCAGCCUGGCUCUUGAGUUUGUAACCUUUGGCUUAAUUGCAGCCCAUCACUUAUAGGCCAUCUAAGACAUAGGAAGGACUCAAUUUCUGGCUCUUAAAAGUUUAAACGAAAAGUUCACAUGCUUUUUUUUUUUUUUUAAAGAUUUUAUUUAUUUAUUUGAGAGAGAAAGAGCAUGAGAGGGGGGAGGG